Molecule: ribosomal RNA, 1241 nt
Filed under: metagenome
Description: bacterial LSU rRNA
Rfam family: Bacterial large subunit ribosomal RNA
Source: RNAcentral
AAGGAACUCGGCAAAAUGCCCCCGUAACUUCGGGAGAAGGGGGGCCGGAUACGUUACACCCUUCUCGGGUGGAAGCGUUGAUGGCCGCAGAGACCAGGCCCAAGCGACUGUUUACUAAAAACACAGGUCCGUGCGAAGAAGUAAUUCGAUGUAUACGGACUGACGCCUGCCCGGUGCUGGAACGUUAAGGGGACAGGUUAGCUGGUUUAGGCCGGCGAAGCUUUGAACUUAAGCGCCAGUAAACGGCGGUGGUAACUAUAACCAUCCUAAGGUAGCGAAAUUCCUUGUCGGGUAAGUUCCGACCUGCACGAAUGGCGUAACGACUUGGGCGCUGUCUCAACCGUGGACUCGGCGAAAUUGCAUUACGAGUAAAGAUGCUCGUUACGCGCAGCAGGACGGAAAGACCCAGGGACCUUUACUACAACUUGGUAUUGGUGGUCGGUACAACUUGUGUAGGAUAGGUGGGAGACUUUGAAGCUCGGACGCCAGUUCGGGUGGAGUCAUCGUCGAAAUACCACUCUGGUUGUUCUGGCUGUCUAACUUAGGUCCAUUAUCUGGAUCAGGGACAGUGCCUGGUGGGUAGUUUGACUGGGGCGGUCGCCUCCUAAAAGGUAACGGAGGCGCUCAAAGGUUCCCUCAGCCUGGUUGGCAAUCAGGUGUCGAGUGUAAGUGCACAAGGGAGCUUGACUGUGAGACAGACAUGUCGAGCAGGGACGAAAGUCGGAACUAGUGGUCCGGCGGUGGCAUGUGGGAGCACCGUCGCUCAACGGAUAAAAGGUACCCCGGGGAUAACAGGCUGAUCUUCCCCAAGAGUCCAUAUCGACGGGAUGGUUUGGCACCUCGAUGUCGGCUCGUCGCAUCCUGGGGCUGGAGUAGGUCCCAAGGGUUGGGCUGUUCGCCCAUUAAAGCGGCACGCGAGCUGGGUUUAGAACGUCGUGAGACAGUUCGGUCCCUAUCCGCUGCGCGCGCGGGAGAAUUGAGAAGGGCUGCCCCUAGUACGAGAGGACCGGGGUGGACGAACCUCUGGUGUGCCAGUUGUUCCGCCAGGAGCACGGCUGGUUGGCUACGUUCGGAAGUGAUAACCGCUGAAAGCAUCUAAGCGGGAAGCACGCUUCAAGAUGAGUUCUCCCACCGGGUUAACCGGGUAAGGCCCCCAGUAGACCACUGGGUUGAUAGGCCAGAGGUGGAAGCACCGUAAGGUGUGGAGCUGACUGGUACUAAUAGGCCGAGGGCUUGUCUCU